GACGAACGCUGGCGGCGUGCUUAACACAUGCAAGUCGAACGGAAAGGCCCUGCUUUUGUGGGGUGCUCGAGUGGCGAACGGGUGAGUAACACGUGAGUAACCUGCCCUUGACUUUGGGAUAACUUCAGGAAACUGGGGCUAAUACCGGAUAGGAGCUCCUGCUGCAUGGUGGGGGUUGGAAAGUUUCGGCGGUUGGGGAUGGACUCGCGGCUUAUCAGCUUGUUGGUGGGGUAGUGGCUUACCAAGGCUUUGACGGGUAGCCGGCCUGAGAGGGUGACCGGGCACAUUGGGACUGAGAUACGGCCCAGACUCCUACGGGAGGCAGCAGUGGGGAAUAUUGCACAAUGGGCGGAAGCCUGAUGCAGCAACGCCGCGUGCGGGAUGACGGCCUUCGGGUUGUAAACCGCUGUCGCCUGUGACAAAGCGUGAGUGACGGUAAUGGGUAAAGAAGCACCGGCUAACUACGUG
This 468-nucleotide ribosomal RNA is filed under the name uncultured bacterium. RNAcentral's name for it is "partial 16S ribosomal RNA". It matches the Rfam family "Bacterial small subunit ribosomal RNA", at positions 28 to 507 of the family's 1533-position model. The record is from RNAcentral.